GAUUAACGCUAGCGGCAGGCCUAAUACAUGCAAGUCGAACGGUAACAGGUCCAGCAAUGGAUGCUGACGAGUGGCGCACGGGUGCGUAACACGUAUGCAAUCUACCCUUAACUGGGGGAUAGCCCCGAGAAAUCGGGAUUAAUACCCCAUAAUAUUAUGAAGUGGCAUCAUUUUAUAAUUAAAGCUCCGGGCGGUUUUGGAUGAGCAUGCGCGACAUUAGCUAGUUGGUGAGGUAACGGCUCACCAAGGCUUCGAUGUCUAGGGGUUCUGAGAGGAUUCACCCCCACACUGGUACUGAGACACGGACCAGACUCCUACGGGAGGCAGCAGUAAGGAAUAUUGGUCAAUGGACGCAAGUCUGAACCAGCCAUGCCGCGUGCAGGAUGACGGCCCUACGGGUUGUAAACUGCUUUUGUACGGGAAAAAACCUCCGGUCGUGAACCGGAGCUGAUGGUACCGUAAGAAUAAGCAUCGGCUAACUCCGUG
RNAcentral lists this ribosomal RNA (486 nucleotides) under uncultured bacterium. Its description in RNAcentral is "bacterial SSU rRNA". It matches the Rfam family "Bacterial small subunit ribosomal RNA", at positions 28 to 507 of the family's 1533-position model. The record is from RNAcentral.